UCCCUCCAGAGCCGAAAGUCAGGCAGGUUCGGCGGCACCUUCGGCGGCCGAAACUCCCAGACAGAGACGAAACUCAUGCAUGUUCGGCGGCACUUUCGGCGGCCGAAACUGCCCGACAGAGACGAAAGUCUCCCUUUCGGGGGCAAGCUUCGGCAGCCGAAAGGCUGCCUUCCCAGCCAUGUUCGGCGGCCGAAAGUCCU
Molecule: long non-coding RNA, 200 nt
Filed under: Manihot esculenta (cassava)
Lineage: Eukaryota; Viridiplantae; Streptophyta; Magnoliopsida; Malpighiales; Euphorbiaceae
Description: long non-coding RNA (MESC_LNC012059)
Source: RNAcentral